UACGUAGGGUGCAAGCGUUGUCCGGAAUUAUUGGGCGUAAAGAGCUCGUAGGCGGUCUGUCACGUCGGACGUGAAAAUCCAGGGCUCAACCCUGGACCUGCGUUCGAUACGGGCAGACUAGAGUUCGGUAGGGGAGACUGGAAUUCCUGGUGUAGCGGUGAAAUGCGCAGAUAUCAGGAGGAAUACCGAUGGCGAAGGCAGGUCUCUGGGCUAUAACUGACGCUCAUGCACGAAAGCGUGGGGAGCAAACAGG
This 253-nucleotide ribosomal RNA is filed under the name uncultured bacterium. RNAcentral describes it as "partial 16S ribosomal RNA". It matches the Rfam family "Bacterial small subunit ribosomal RNA", at positions 524 to 776 of the family's 1533-position model. The record is from RNAcentral.